GACGAACGCUGGCGGCGUGCUUAACACAUGCAAGUCGAACGGAAAGGCCCUGCUUUUGUGGGGUGCUCGAGUGGCGAACGGGUGAGUAACACGUGAGUAACCUGCCCUUGACUUUGGGAUAACUUCAGGAAACUGGGGCUAAUACCCGAUAGGAGCUCCUGCUGAAUGGUGGGGGUUGGAAAGUUUCGGCGGUUGGGGUUGGACUCGCGGCUUAUCAGCUUGUUGGUGGGGUAGUGGCUUACCAAGGCUUUGACGGGUAGCCGGCCUGAGAGGGUGACCGGCCACAGAGGGACUGGGGUACGACCCGUAGUCCAACGUGGGGAAGCGGUGAGAACUAGUGCACAAAGGGCGGAGGCUGAUGCAGCAACGCCGCGUGCGGGAUGACGGCCUGCGGGUUGUAAACCGCUUGCGCCUGUGACGAAGCGUGAGUGACGGUAAUGGGUAAAGAAGCACCGGCUAACUACGUG
RNAcentral lists this ribosomal RNA (467 nucleotides) under uncultured bacterium. Its description in RNAcentral is "partial 16S ribosomal RNA". It matches the Rfam family "Bacterial small subunit ribosomal RNA", at positions 28 to 507 of the family's 1533-position model. The record is from RNAcentral.